CCUACGGGUGGCAGCAGUGGGGAAUAUUGCACAAUGGGGGAAACCCUGAUGCAGCGACGCCGCGUGCGUGAAGAAGGAAUUCGUUAUGGAAAACUCUAUCAGCAGGGAAGAAAAUGACGGUACCUGAGUAAGAAGCCCCGCCUAACUAUGUGCCAGCAGCCGCGGUAAUACGGAGGGGGCAAGCGUUAUCCGGAUUUACUGGGUGUAAAGGGGGCGUAGACGGCAGUGUAAGUCUGGAGUGAAAGGCGGGGGCUCAACCCCCGGACUGCUCUGUAAACUGUUCGGCUGGAGUGCAGGAGAGGUAAGUGGAAUGCAUGGUGUAGCGGUGAAAUGCGUAGAUAUUAGGAGGAACACCGAUGGCGAAGGCAGCUUACUGGACUGCUACUGACGUUGAGGCUCGAAAGCGUGGGGAGCAAACAGGAUUAGAUACCCCUGUAGUC
Molecule: ribosomal RNA, 440 nt
Filed under: uncultured bacterium
Lineage: Bacteria
Description: partial 16S ribosomal RNA
Rfam family: Bacterial small subunit ribosomal RNA
Source: RNAcentral